GACGAACGCUGGCGGCGUGCUUAACACAUGCAAGUCGAACGAUGAUGCCCAGCUUGCUGGGUGGAUUAGUGGCGAACGGGUGAGUAACACGUGAGUAACCUGCCCCUGACUCUGGGAUAAGCGUUGGAAACGACGUCUAAUACUGGAUAUGACUGCCGGCCGCAUGGUCUGGUGGUGGAAAGAUUUUUUGGUUGGGGAUGGACUCGCGGCCUAUCAGCUUGUUGGUGAGGUAAUGGCUCACCAAGGCGACGACGGGUAGCCGGCCUGAGAGGGUGACCGGCCACACUGGGACGGGGAAACGGCCCAGACUCCUACGGGAGGCAGCAGUGGGGAAUAUUGCACAAUGGGCGAAAGCCUGAUGCAGCAACGCCGCGUGAGGGAUGACGGCCUUCGGGUUGUAAACCUCUUUUAGUAGGGAAGAAGCGAAAGUGACGGUACCUGCAGAAAAAGCACCGGCUAACUACGUGCCAGCCGCCGCCGUAA
Molecule: ribosomal RNA, 483 nt
Filed under: uncultured bacterium
Lineage: Bacteria
Description: partial 16S ribosomal RNA
Rfam family: Bacterial small subunit ribosomal RNA
Source: RNAcentral